This 252-nucleotide non-coding RNA is filed under the name Pelotomaculum thermopropionicum. RNAcentral describes it as "T-box sequence". It matches the Rfam family "T-box leader". From Rfam's summary of the family: Uncharged tRNA acts as the effector for transcription antitermination of genes in the T-box leader family. The record is from RNAcentral. Lineage: Bacteria; Bacillati; Bacillota; Clostridia; Eubacteriales; Desulfotomaculaceae.
GGAAACGCUAUGAAGGGGACCAGGGCCUGAGUAUUGAGCCACAGAGAGCCGGGGCAGCUGAAAACCGGCGCUUUAAAUACCCGGCCUGACAUCACCCCGGAGCUGCCGGCUGAAAGCAGUGGCAAGUAGGCUGGGCCGGAGCUGGCGGCCGUUAAAGCGCCGUGCCGGGUAAGGCACAUUAAGGGGCUUCCGCGUUUUUUUGGAAGCAAGCAGGGUGGUACCGCGCAAGGUUUUAAACCUCUCGUCCCUGGU